This 26-nucleotide non-coding RNA is filed under the name Mus musculus (house mouse). The record is from RNAcentral. Lineage: Eukaryota; Metazoa; Chordata; Mammalia; Rodentia; Muridae.
UGAGUGAGAACAUGUCACCAGGCCCA